Molecule: ribosomal RNA, 328 nt
Filed under: uncultured eukaryote
Lineage: Eukaryota
Description: partial 18S ribosomal RNA
Rfam family: Eukaryotic small subunit ribosomal RNA
Source: RNAcentral
CCCUUAGAUGUUCUGGGCCGCACGCGCGUUACACUGAUGCAUUCAACGAGCUUAUAACCUUGGCCGAGAGGCCUGGGCAAUCUUGUUAACGUGCAUCGUGAUAGGGAUAGAUUAUUGAAAUUAUUAAUCUUGAACGAGGAAUUCCUAGUAAACGCAGAUCAUCAAUCUGCAUUGAUUACGUCCCUGCCCUUUGUACACACCGCCCGUCGCACCUACCGAUUGGAUGGUCCGGUGAAGCCUCGGGAUUGUGGUUCUUGCCGCUUUAUUGUGGCGUGACCGCGAGAACUUGUCUAAACCUUAUCAUCUAGAGGAAGGUGAAGUCGUANCA